Crotalus tigris (Tiger rattlesnake) is the source of this 991-nucleotide long non-coding RNA. RefSeq lists it as uncharacterized. The transcript is spliced from 2 exons. NCBI's taxonomy places the organism in Eukaryota, Metazoa, Chordata, Lepidosauria, Squamata, Viperidae. The record is from RefSeq and is a predicted model, not a curated record.
UAGCUAUUUCGAACUAAUUAGCUCUCAUCAGCCAAACAUACCCUUCUGAGAUUCGAACCUGGGCUGCUUGCACUUUAGGCAGCUGUGUUAACUUCUAGGCCACAGGCUCUUUCUCACUUUGUCAGCCGUGUCAGGGAAGGAAGAGACAGGGGUGGACAUGCACGGGAGGGGGAUGCGGACUUUCUGGAUCUCCCUCUUCUUGCAGGUUCCAACCAACUGCUUUGUAUCUCACCGAGGUCCCCAGGCUGUAGCCAAAAUAGCUGCGAUUAGAAUAAGCAGAUAAAGCAGCGUUAUGCUGGCAUUGAAGGCAAGCAGAGGCAGUGGACAGAGCAGGCAGGGCUCACUCCCAACGUCUAGCCUGGGAUCCGGGGCAGCUCCUUUAGACUAACAGACUGCCUGCUAGCUAAGCACUCAGAGCUGGCAGCCUGGCGAGCGAAUCUGACUGCACGCUACGGUUGAGCUGCUGCCAAAAAGGCCACCCCCAUUUCUCCUCUGCUGAUUCCCUUCCCGGGACAGCCUCGUAUGCUCUCUUGCUCGCCUCCUGCGGAUGAGGCAGUGGCAUCCUGACUGUGGGAGAUGGAGGAGCCCUGCUGAGUGGAGGCGCUUCCAAAGAAACAGGACCCGGGCGAGGGAAAGAUCCCUUCUGACUUUUAGGGGCCUGUCAAGCUGCAAAGAAUGCUUACACUGCUCCAUCCAUUACUACUUCUUAGCUUGCCUACAGACGUGGGAGGGAAGGGAAGAAUGGAAUACAGGCUUCAGACAUCGGGCUGCCAAAUGUGAGAACCAAGGUCAUCCAACAACUGUUUACUGAGAACUGACAUUCUCUCAUAACAAUUGUCUGACAUUUUAUUGGAUAAUGUGAUCUGCACUAAUAGGGAGGAGGGAGAUUCUAUACUUUAAUAUACUGAUUUAGGUGCCAAUUAACCAGAGCUGGUUUUCUAUUCAUCUGUGCCAAAAUGGUGUGCUCAAUAAAGUUUUGCAUUAGAGAUUG